Molecule: transfer RNA, 85 nt
Filed under: Actinomycetes bacterium
Lineage: Bacteria; Bacillati; Actinomycetota; Actinomycetes
Description: tRNA-Leu
Rfam family: tRNA
About the family: Transfer RNA (tRNA) molecules are approximately 80 nucleotides in length. Their secondary structure includes four short double-helical elements and three loops (D, anti-codon, and T loops).
Source: RNAcentral
GCCCGGGUGGCGGAAUGGCAGACGCAGAAGGCUUAAACCCUUCGGAUCCUCCGGGGUCGUGUGGGUUCGAAUCCCACCCCGGGCA